This is a long non-coding RNA of Arabidopsis thaliana (thale cress), 410 nucleotides long. RefSeq annotates it as other RNA. The record is from RefSeq. The transcript has a single exon. Lineage: Eukaryota; Viridiplantae; Streptophyta; Magnoliopsida; Brassicales; Brassicaceae.
UUUUUAUAAGUUUUCACUAUAGCAAUUAGCAACUAGCUAGUAAUAAGUGUUUUUAGUUUACAAAGUAUUUUACAGGGUUCUAUCAUAAAUAAAAGAAGGAUAAUAUUACUAAAUAGCCAAAAAAACACAACGUAAAAUAGCAGAGAGAAAGGUUUUUGUUGCAAAUUAGUCAUGAACUCACAUUAUCAAACGAGGUGAAAUGACAAAACAAUCCUUCGUUUGUUGCAAGUUCAACAGUAGGCGAGACACUUGUGUGAGGUUUUACAAAAUAGCAUGUAACAUUUAAAUUUCACAUGUUAUAUUUAACUAAAAGACAUGAUAUUUAAAAAAAUAUAUCGUGUUAUUUUAAGAAAAAUCAUUGUUACAUAGUGGUUUUUUAAGAAAAAACAUUGUUAUGAAAAACAAAUCUG